This 510-nucleotide ribosomal RNA is filed under the name uncultured Acidobacteriota bacterium. RNAcentral's name for it is "bacterial SSU rRNA". It matches the Rfam family "Bacterial small subunit ribosomal RNA", at positions 13 to 529 of the family's 1533-position model. Lineage: Bacteria; Pseudomonadati; Acidobacteriota. The record is from RNAcentral.
UUGAUUCUGGCUCAGAAUCAACGCUGGCGGCGUGCCUAACACAUGCAAGUCGAGCGAGAAAGGGGGAGCAAUCCCCUGAGUAAAGCGGCGCACGGGUGAUUAACACGUGGGUAAUCUGCCCUGGAGUGGGGAAUAACACCGGGAAACCGUUGCUAAUACCGCAUACGAUAACGAUGUCUGCGGACGUUGUUAUGAAAGGUGCAAUUCGCUCCAGGAGGAGCCCGCGGCUGAUUAGCUAGUUGGUGAGGUUAUGGCUCACCAAGGCAACGAUCAGUAGCCGGUCUGAGAGGACGGUCGGCUACACUGGAACUGAGACACGGUCCAGACUCCUACGGGAGGCAGCAGUGGGUAAUUUUUGGCAAUGGGGGAAACCCUGGCCAAGCAACGCCGCGUGGAUGAUGAAGUAUCUCGGUACGUAAAAUCCUUUCGACAGGGAAGAAACCGCAAGGUUGACGGUACCUGUAGAAGAAGCCCCGGCUAACUCCGUGCCAGCAGCCGCUGUAAUAAGGU